Molecule: ribosomal RNA, 514 nt
Filed under: Clostridioides difficile
Lineage: Bacteria; Bacillati; Bacillota; Clostridia; Peptostreptococcales; Peptostreptococcaceae
Description: partial 23S ribosomal RNA
Rfam family: Bacterial large subunit ribosomal RNA
Source: RNAcentral
CCACGAGCGUUGAAAAGCUCGGGGAUGACUUGUGGGUAGCGGUGAAAUUCCAAUCGAGCCCGGAGAUAGCUGGUUCUCCCCGAAAUAGCUUUAGGGCUAGCCUCAAGGUGAGAGAUACGGAGGUAGAGCACUGAAUGUCCUAGGGGGUAUUGCACCUACCGAAGACUAUCAAACUCCGAAUGCCGUCAUCUUAUACUUGGGAGUCAGACUGUGGGUGAUAAGAUUCAUAGUCGAAAGGGCAACAGCCCAGAUCGUCAGCUAAGGUCCCUAAAUGUAAGUUAAGUGGUAAAGGAUGUGGGAUUGCACAGACAACCAGGAUGUUGGCUUAGAAGCAGCCACUCAUUCAAAGAGUGCGUAAUAGCUCACUGGUCGAGUGAUCCUGCGCCGAAGAUUUCCGGGGCUAAAACUUACUACCGAAGCUACGGCAUCAGUAAUGAUGGGUAGGGGAGCUUCCCAUACGGGUUGAAGCAUGACCGUAAGGACAUGUGGACAGUAUGGGAGUGAGAAUGUUGGC